CGUCGCCCGCUCCACGGAGGUCAAGGCUUCCAUGGCUGAGCGAUUUAUCAAUCUGGUCGUGCCGCUGCCCCACAAGGGCACCGCCAUGCGCAAUGAGGAUACCGGCCGCCAGUGUGCGGAGAGGUCCAGCGCCGUUUCUCCGCUGAUCGGCGAUGGCCUUCAGCAGAGCGACGUAGAUAGCACGAUACUUCC
RNAcentral lists this non-coding RNA (192 nucleotides) under Burkholderia cenocepacia H111. RNAcentral describes it as "RT-15 RNA". It matches the Rfam family "RT-15 RNA". Rfam says of the family: Proteobacteria. Lineage: Bacteria; Pseudomonadati; Pseudomonadota; Betaproteobacteria; Burkholderiales; Burkholderiaceae. The record is from Rfam by way of RNAcentral.